This 497-nucleotide ribosomal RNA is filed under the name uncultured Sphingobacteriales bacterium. Its description in RNAcentral is "bacterial SSU rRNA". It matches the Rfam family "Bacterial small subunit ribosomal RNA", at positions 903 to 1382 of the family's 1533-position model. Lineage: Bacteria; Pseudomonadati; Bacteroidota; Sphingobacteriia; Sphingobacteriales. The record is from RNAcentral.
UUGCCAGCCCGCUCAGAAACUUAAAGGAAUUGACGGGGCCCGCACAAGCGGUGGAGCAUGUGGUUAAUUCGAUGAUACGCGAGGAACCUUACCUGGGCUCAAAUGUAUGUUGACGUAUUCUGAAAGGGAUACUUCUUCGGACAAUAUACAAGGUGCUGCAUGGUUGUCGUCAGCUCGUGCCGUGAGGUGUCGGGUUAAGUCCCAUAACGAGCGCAACCCCUAUCAUUAGUUGCCAUCAGGUCAAGCUGGGGACUCUAAUGAAACUGCCUACGCAAGUAGUGAGGAAGGUGGGGAUGACGUCAAAUCAGCACGGCCCUUACGUCCAGGGCUACACACGUGCUACAAUGGCCGGUACAAAGGGCAGCUACCUGGUGACAGGAUGCUAAUCUCAAAAGCCGGUCUCAGUUCGGAUCGGAGUCUGCAACCCGACUCCGUGAAGCUGGAUUCGCUAGUAAUCGCGCAUCAGCCACGGCGCGGUGAAUACGUUCCCGGGCCUU